AAGGAUCAUUAUCGUACAAAAUGUGUGAGGCGUGCAAGGGCUGUCGCUGACUUUUAACGCAAAAGUCGUGCACGCCGGAGUGUGUCCUCUCGCAUAAAAUCCAUCUCACCCUUUUGUGCACCACCGCGUGGGCACCCUUCGGGAUCGAACCGGUCCAGGAGGGGGCUUGCGUUUUCACACAAACCCCUUUUUAAAAGUGUAGAAUGACCCCAUUUUUGCGAUAACACGCAAUCAAUACAACUUUCAACAACGGAUCUCUUGGCUCUC
RNAcentral lists this unclassified non-coding RNA (267 nucleotides) under uncultured fungus. RNAcentral's name for it is "partial contains 18S rRNA, ITS1, 5.8S rRNA, ITS2 and 28S rRNA". The record is from RNAcentral. Lineage: Eukaryota; Fungi.